RNAcentral lists this long non-coding RNA (827 nucleotides) under Mus spicilegus (steppe mouse). Its description in RNAcentral is "lncRNA (ENSMSIG00000013582.1)". The record is from RNAcentral. Lineage: Eukaryota; Metazoa; Chordata; Mammalia; Rodentia; Muridae.
GUGCAGGUAACAGUAGGGUAGGCAAAAGGACCAGCUGCUCCCGCUGAAACUCAGGUGGCAGGCCCAGAUGAGAGGCACAACGGGCCAGAGAUAGGGAGUCGCCUGGGGAACACCCACACCGAGCAUCUUCCCAUCCAGUCACCACCCAGUAGACUGCACCUGGCGGCCGGCUGCAGGAGCCUUUGAGUGAGCACAGAGAGUUCGAGCAGAAACCAUGGGAUACAAUUGUCUAAAAGCCUUGGUUCACAAGGAGUGGGUGUGGGCUGGAAAGGGGGAUUACGUAGGUCUCUCCGCCCCCUCCUCUGCCAUCUCUUAGCCACUGGGAGGGCGCCCAGGGGCGGAGGAGGCGCUGCGAACCCGUUUGGGGGCUCCUUUGUUUCUCUUCGGGCCCCUAUCUGCCGGCUGUACCCAAGCCUUGGGAUGCCAGCCCGGCUUGGGCGGCGACCCGCCCCAAGCCAACAAUUGAACCUCGCGGGAGAAGAGAGGCAGAACUUUACAGAAGAGGAAACCACGAGAAACCAAGUGAAGCCUCAAUUCCCAUCCUCCUCCGUCCCCCGGGAGCACCUCCCUUCCAGCCUGCGCUCGUCACUUCAGGUGCCCAGUGAUUUCUCAAUGAACAUUUCCCUCUGUCUGGCAGGAAUCUGAUCUUCCCACCAGAUGAGUUCAACGCUGACUGUUUUUCAAACCAUAUCUCAAAAGCCACACAGAACCCUGAGCACACAUUUCACCAGAUUUGACAGAUGAGCUUUGGUAUGAAGAAAACCUCCAAGAAUGGACUUGGCUGAGGUGCAACAAUAAACACCAGAAUCAACCAAAUGAUAAUACCA